UUUGGACAAUGGGGGAAACCCUGAUCCAGCCAUCCCGCGUGUGCGAUGAAGGCCUUCNNNUUGUANAGCACUUUUGGCAGGGANGACNAGGUUCUGGCUAAUAAUCGGAACUGCUGACGGUACCUGCAGCAUAAGCACCGGCUAACUACGUGCCAGCAGCCGCGGUAAUACGUAGGGUGCAAGCGUUAAUCGGAAUUACUGGGCGUAAAGCGUGCGCAGGCGGUUUGGCAAGAAGGAUGUGAAAUCCCGGGGCUUAACCUCGGAACUGCAUUCUUAACUGCCAGGCUAGAGUAUGUCAGAGGGGGGUAGAAUUCCACGUGUAGCAGUGAAAUGCGUAGUGAUGUGGAGGAAUACCGAUGGCGAAGGCAGCCCCCUGGGAUAAUACUGACGCUCAUGCACGAAAGCGUGGGGAGCAAACA
Molecule: ribosomal RNA, 419 nt
Filed under: uncultured bacterium
Lineage: Bacteria
Description: partial 16S ribosomal RNA
Rfam family: Bacterial small subunit ribosomal RNA
Source: RNAcentral